This 253-nucleotide ribosomal RNA is filed under the name uncultured bacterium. RNAcentral describes it as "partial 16S ribosomal RNA". It matches the Rfam family "Bacterial small subunit ribosomal RNA", at positions 524 to 776 of the family's 1533-position model. The record is from RNAcentral.
UACGGAGGGGGCUAGCGUUGUUCGGAAUUACUGGGCGUAAAGCGCACGUAGGCGGCUUUGUAAGUUAGAGGUGAAAGCCUGGUGCUCAACACCAGAACUGCCUUUAAGACUGCAUCGCUUGAAUCAUGGAGAGGCGGGUGGAAUUCCGAGUGUAGAGGUGAAAUUCGUAGAUAUUCGGAAGAACACCAGUGGCGAAGGCGACUUACUGGACACAUAUUGACGCUGAGGUGCGAAAGCGUGGGGAGCAAACAGG